CUCCUACGGGAGGCAGCAGCUAAGAAUCUUCCACAAUGGACGAAAGUCUGAUGGAGCGACGCCGCGUGAAUGAAGAAGGCCGAGAGGUUGUAAAAUUCUUUUAUGGAUGAGGAAUAAAGCAGGGAGUGGAAAGCCCUGAAGAUGACGUUAGUCCCAUGAAUAAGCUCCGGCUAAUUCCGUGCCAGCAGCCGCGGUAAUACGGAAAGGAGCGAGCGUUGUUCGGAAUUAUUGGGCGUAAAGGGCGCGUAGGCUGUUAAACAAGUCUGUAGUCAAAUACCUCGGCUUAACUGAGGGAAGGCAAUGGAAACUGUUUAACUAGAAUUACCUAGGGGAAACUGGAAUUUCUGGUGUAGGGGUGGAAUCUGUUGAUAUCAGAAGGAACACCAAAGGCGAAAGCAAGUUUCUGGGGGAUAAUUGACGCUGAGGCGCGAAAGUGUGGGGAGCAAACAGGAUUAGAUACCCUGGUAGUCCACGCCGUAAACGAUGAGUGCUAAGUGUUAGAGGGUUUCCGCCCUUUAGUGCUGAAGUAAACGCAUUAAGCACUCCGCCUGGGGAGUACGGCCGCAAGGCUGAAACUCAAAGGAAUUGACGGGGACCCGCACAAGCGGUGGAGCAUGUGGUUUAAUUCGAAGCAACGCGAAGAACCUUACCAGGUCUUGACAUCCUCUGACCAUCCUAGAGAUAGGACCUUCCCCUUCGGGGGACAGAGUGACAGGUGGUGCAUGGUUGUCGUCAGCUCGUGUCGUGAGAUGUUGGGUUAAGUCCCGCAACGAGCGCAACCCUUGUCCUUAGUUGCCAGCAUUCAGUUGGGCACUCUAAGGAGACUGCCGGUGACAAACCGGAGGAAGGUGGGGAUGACGUCAAAUCAUCAUGCCCCUUAUGACCUGGGCUACACACGUGCUACAAUGGAUGGUACAACGGGUUGCGAAGCCGCGAGGUGUAGCUAAUCCCAUAAAACCAUUCUCAGUUCGGAUUGUAGGCUGCAACUCGCCUACAUGAAGCCGGAAUCGCUAGUAAUCGCGGAUCAGAAUGCCGCGGUGAAUACGUUCCCGGGUCUUGUACACACCGCCCGU
This 1073-nucleotide ribosomal RNA is filed under the name uncultured Bacilli bacterium. RNAcentral describes it as "bacterial SSU rRNA". It matches the Rfam family "Bacterial small subunit ribosomal RNA", at positions 336 to 1397 of the family's 1533-position model. The record is from RNAcentral. Lineage: Bacteria; Bacillati; Bacillota; Bacilli.